AUGGGCAGCCUACUCUUCACAUGGAGCUCGGCCGUCACCACCGCUGGGACAUUGCAGCGGUCUGGACAGCCAUUACAGCCACAGACACAGCAGCCGCUGGCGCUGCAUGACCUCCGUGGUGGCCAUAGGCAUCGCAUCUAUCUGCAAUCAACUUUGCUAAGUGCAGCCAGAGAACUUGGCUUGGACCCUGGCAAACAGAUUAAAUUGGAUUCCAGUGCACAGUUUGGAUAUUACUUUCGUGUAACCUGUAAGGAAGAAAAAGUUCUUAGUAACAAUAAAAACUUUAGUACAGUAGACAUCCAGAAGAAUGGUGUUAAAUUUACCAACAGCAAAUUGACUUCCUUAAAUGAAGAAUAUACCAAGAAUAAAACCGAGUAUGAGGAAGCCCAGGAUGCCAUUGUUAAAGAAAUUAUUAAUAUCUCUUCAGGCUACGUGGAACCCAUGCAAACACUCAAUGAUGUGUUAACUCAGCUAGAUGCUGUUGUCAACUUUGCUCAUGUAUCAAAUGGAGCACCUAUUCCAUAUAUGUGACAAGUCAUUUUGGAGAAAGGACAAGGAAGAAUUAUAUUGAAAGCAUCCAGACAUGCUUGUGUUGAAGUUCAAGAUGAAGCUGCAUUUAUUCCUAAUGAUGUGUACUUUGAAAAAGAUAAACAGAUGUUCCACAUCAUCACUGGCCCCAAUAUGGGAGGUAAAUCAACAUACAUUUGCCAAACUGGGGUGAUAGUACUCAUGGCCCAGAUUGGGUGUUUUCUGCCAUUUGAGUGGCCGAAGUGUCCAUUGUGGACUGCGUCUUGGCCCGGGUAGGGGCUGGGGACAGUCAGUUGAAAGGAGUCUCCACAUUCAUGGCUGAGAUGUUGGAAACUGCUUCCUUCCUCAGGUCUGCAACUAAAGAUUCAUUAAUAAUCAUAGAUGAAUUGGGAAGAGGAAUUUCUACCUACAAUGGAUUUGGGCUAGCAUGGGCUAUAUCAGAUUACAUUGCAAAAAAGAUUGGUGCUUUUUGCAUGUUUGCAACCCAUUUUCAUGAACUUACUGCCUUGGCCAAUCAGAUACCAACGGUUAAUAAUCUAUAUGUUACAACACUAAUCACUGAAGAGACCUUAACUAUGCCUUAUCAGGUGAAGAAAGGUGUCUGUGAUCAGAGUUCUGGGAUUCAUGUUGCAGAGCUGGCUAAUUAAAAAGCCCUGGAGCUUGAGGAGUUCCAGCAUAUUGGAGAAUCACAAAGCUAUGAUGAGACAGAACCAGCAGCGAAGAAGUGCUAUCUGGAGAGAGAGCAAGGUGAAAAAAUCAUCCAGGAGUUUCUAUCCAAGGUGAAACAAGUGCCCUUUACUGAGAUGUCAGAAGAAAACAUCACAGUAAAGUUAAAACAGCUGAAGGCUGAAGUGAUGGCAAAGAAUAAUAGUUUUGUAAAUGAAAUCAUUUCCCGAAUAAAGGUGACUACAUGAGAAGAUACCAGUAAUGGAAUGAAAAUAAUAUUGAUAAGCUAUAAUUGUCUGUAAUACUUUCGUAUUGUUUUAUAUUAACUCUUUUUCUGUAGGGUUACUUAUUGAUGCCCAUGGUAUGUCAACUUAAUA
RNA transcript from Carlito syrichta (Philippine tarsier), 1571 nucleotides. It is a transcript of the gene named DNA mismatch repair protein Msh2 pseudogene, with no coding region annotated. The record is from RefSeq and is a predicted model, not a curated record. Lineage: Eukaryota; Metazoa; Chordata; Mammalia; Primates; Tarsiidae. The transcript is spliced from 2 exons.